CCUUGUGGAUCCUAGUGGCGAAGGGGUGAGUAACACGUAGGGAACCUGCCCGCGCACCGGGAAUACGCUCUGGAAACGGAUAACAAAUCCCGAUGUACAGGAAAGAGGCAUCUUCUUUCUGUGAAACAUCCUGUAAGGGAUGGGGCGCGGAUGGACCUGCGGUGCAUUAGUUGGUUGGCGAGGGUAAAGGCCCACCAAAACUAAGAUGCGUAACCGGCCUGAGAGGGCAGACAGCCACAUUGGGACUGAGACACGGUCCACAGACUCCUGCCGGAGGCAGCUGUGAGGUGAAUUUUCUUCAAUGGGCGCAAGCCUGAACGAUCGAUGCCGCGUGAGUGAAGAAGGUCUUCGGGUCGUUACCUCUGUUGCGGGGGAAAAAAGGCAUCGGCAGGAAAUGGUAGAUGACAUAUGGUGCCCCGCCAGAAAGUCACGGCUAACUACGUGCCAACAGCCGCGGUAAUACGUAGGUGGCGAGCGUUAUCCGGAAUGAUUGGGCGUAAAGGGUGCGCACGCGGUCCUGCAAGUCUGGAGUGAAACGUAUGAGCUCAACUCAUGCAUGGCUCUGGAAACU
Molecule: ribosomal RNA, 571 nt
Filed under: uncultured bacterium
Lineage: Bacteria
Description: bacterial SSU rRNA
Rfam family: Bacterial small subunit ribosomal RNA
Source: RNAcentral